This 42-nucleotide ribosomal RNA is filed under the name Fusarium oxysporum. RNAcentral describes it as "partial 28S ribosomal RNA". RNAcentral also lists the same sequence under 16 other names. Lineage: Eukaryota; Fungi; Ascomycota; Sordariomycetes; Hypocreales; Nectriaceae. The record is from RNAcentral.
UGACCUCGGAUCAGGUAGGAAUACCCGCUGAACUUAAGCAUA